CCUGACUAUUUUUAGAACACCUACUUAAAGUUGAAUGGGGAGAUCUGUCCAUUUUUAGAGCUAAUCACCAAAAGUAUAAACAUCCCACUUAUUCAUUAAGUGGGAGGUCUGUGACCCACAUGUGCAAUAGUGGGUGAUGAAUAAGAAUCGACUGACUCCUGGGCAGUACUAAGCAAGGCUUUAAACUAUGAUUUGUCCACAUAAAAAGUGGAGGAAGACACAGGAAGUGAUGUGAGAUAAAGUGUCUUUAAAAGGGAAUGACAACUUCCUGAAGGAGUUCUAUUGGGACUUCAUUCUUUGGAGUGGAGGUUGAAGGAGAAAUCUGCUGACUGGACCUGAGACCCUAUUCCUGAUGAUAUUGUUGGACUGACACAUGAAACACUGAAGACUGCAUUACUCAAUAACUUACAAGCUGAAACUCUUUCCAGGCUUGCUUUCACAAGAAAAUGGAUAUUUUUCAAGCUGAACUCCUUAUGGCAUGGACUUGAGGGCCAUUAUCAUUCUCUUUGCUCUUCUAUGGAUGCUCUCCAGUUUGCCUUUAAAUGAGACUGCUGCCACACUCUCUGAUACUGCUAAAAGGAACUUCAGAAAUGGAAAACCUUUCUGGACAUCUUUGAAAAACUUCCACAGAACAUGGUGCAGCCCAGACUCAUGGUUGGUUAGGAGGACAAAGUCAGUGUGUAACCCUUGUGUCAGGAGUUUUCACAUGAUCUGGAGGAUUCUCAUGCAGACAUUUGCAGCCCAUUGCAAAUUGAGAACAAGACUUUUAAUGUUUUUCAAAUGAAUGAUAAGGGAAUGAAAUCUGAGAGGGAGGAAGAGUCAAACCCUGUCUUUAUUAGAGGUAAUUUGAAAAGGCAUCUUAUGAAGAUGUUUGGGACAUGAGUGUCUUCUAUCAUGCUGGUUUUAGUUGUUCUUCUCAGAUUAAUUGACAAGUUUGGACAGAUGAGUAUCCCUAAGGGUACUUUGAGCAACAUUCUGAAACUAAUGUAGUUCAUCUUCUUGGGUCUUGUUAUGAGGACUGAGAAGUGGAAAAAGGGAUCUUUCAAUAAAAUGUAUGAUUGCCUGGAUACUAAUAUGGUG
RNAcentral lists this long non-coding RNA (1080 nucleotides) under Monodelphis domestica (gray short-tailed opossum). RNAcentral's name for it is "lncRNA (ENSMODG00000029975.2)". Lineage: Eukaryota; Metazoa; Chordata; Mammalia; Didelphimorphia; Didelphidae. The record is from RNAcentral.